GCAGAAAAUUUCACAGGCCCUUAGAAUGGGGCUAAUGAGAUAAACUUCAGGGAAGAUGGUUUUUAAAACUUGCACUUACAAAAACAUCUAAAUAGAAAGAGUUCAGACCUCAUUUCCUCAAGGUCAUAGUAUCUUGAAAACAAGCUGGCAGUUGGCACAAGAGAGCCAAGUUUUCCCCGUGACUUUUUCAAAGUCAGAUAAGCUAACAACAGGAAUUUACACCAUAAAUCUGUUUAAAUGCGAUGAACCGUGACUGAAGGUGCUCAUUACCUUCAAGUAUCAAGGGCCUCUUUCUCUUUAAGUAGCAGCAGAUUCUACCCUGCACUGGAGAAAUAUGUCCCUACCAGGUUAUAACCUGCUGCUGGAAUUUUCACUUUGCAUAAUCUCUAAUAGUCUCAGGAAUCAGCCAUGUUGUAAAUUAAAAUGUUUAAGGUUGUGCAAAUUUUAUUUUUCCAACUCCUGCUUUUAUUGAGUUGUCUGCAGAUAUAAGGAGACAGGUUUGGCCGUUCCCCACACAUUUUCUGAGCCCAAAUUACAUACUCAGUGAACUGAAGUAGGUAAGAUAUUAAUUCCCAAGGUCAAGGACCACGAAUAGGUCCAAAAAGGUUAUGGGGGAAAUAAAAAGAACGCCCGGUGGUCUGGCCCUCUGGUAAACAGGUACUAUGUUUACUAGCGGUGUGACCUUGGACGAGUCACUGGGCCUCUCUAAGCCUCAGCUCCCUUGUCUGUAAAUUCUCCUUCAAAGAUUGGAUCAUAAACACUAUGCACCAUGUUCAGCACAUGAAAAGCACUGAACAAAUUAUCAACCAUAACUGUUAUGAUAAAUAUCUCUUUCCACUAAUGGACAUGUCAAGCUGCAGAACAUAAGCAAGUGGCAUCCAGGGCAAAGUGAGACAGCAGGGUAUGGUAUAAAGAACCACCACUGGGCAACCAGGAUAACUGGAGAUCUGGACUCUUUUCUCGGUGGCACCGAUGGCAAGGCACGUGACCUGGGGCAAGCUAUUAGCCUCUCUAAACCAAAGUGUUAUCAUUUUAAAAACCAGAAUCCAAAGAACAACGCUGCAACACUGGAAUGCCUAAGUCACCACUCUCUUUGAUAUCGCAGAAUCUGACUAAAAAUAUACUGGCAGCUGCCUCAACAUCAUAUCUAGAGCGAUAAAAUUCACUCUCUUUAGGAAAGAAACAUAUUUAAAGUCCAUCUGCAAAGCAGUGGAAGGAGCGCGUUGAGGGUGGGAGAUGAGAGGGCAAAUAAAUCAAACUCAUCCGCACCCACUGCCUCCAAAUGAUAACUUUUCUCCAUCUCCCUUAAAUUACAGGCUCUAACUCAGCCAUUUUUGUAGCACCCUGCAGGACUUCAGCAAAUGAGAACAACUGAGAAAGCUAAAAAUAUCAUCAGGCUAUUUGCUCUGCUGCCUUAUGUACACCUGAUGCAAUAUUAGAACCAGGAGGCAGCUGGCAUCUGAGGGCUGAACUGCAAAAGCCAACAAGACAGGGACAAGUUUGAGAGGCAUAAAAUCUGUGAAGUGCAGGAAGUUUUAAGCUUCCCCUGGAACUAUCCACCGUCUUAGCUUAAAACCCCCAAUAACAAUGGCUUAGGAAGAAAUAGUUCUCUUUCCUUCACUGUAAAAAUAUCCUGAUUUCUUCUUUGCCAGAUUUCUCCUAAAAAGCAGAAGAGCCGGUGGCUUAUUUUGAUUAGGCCAAUUACAGCAAUAUGGACAAUGUGUAGUCCACAAUUUUCUUCUUGGCACACCUAACACACCCAAGGGUCGGUCUGUCUCUGGGUGUCUCAUUCCAGCCACUCAUUAGGCUGUGUCCUUAGUCUGAACUGUCCGAAGCUGUUCUCAUUCUCCGUCUCUACCGUUUUCACCCCAACCCUUCACCCAGUCAUCUGAAAUAGAGGGCCCUGAGACUUGAGGCUCUGCUCACAAUUGCUCUGCUUGGCUGAGUAGAUGGGAAGCUGGAGGAAGAGAAGAGUCUAAGGGGGCGUGAAGCUUCGUGAAGCUACAGCCCCACCCAGACUCUCUGGACAUCUGGAAAAAGAAAAAAGAAUACUAUGAUCUCCAAGGUGUCUUCCAGCCCUGACAUUCUGUGAUAUUGUGAACCCCAAGCUUCAAAAUACUAAGCAGUUAUCAGUCUAGCUCUUCAACAGACAGCAACAACUCAGCCACUUUCCGUAUUUGACCAGCCACCUGAUCUCCGUGAAAAUUCUCAACAGAGAGCGAGGAACUUCGUGUCUUCUAAGCGUGGCAACUUGGAUUGGCUCCAUGACACUGGCGUCUCUUCAUAUUUGCAUAUCAGACGUUGGCUGUAU
Physeter macrocephalus (sperm whale) is the source of this 2311-nucleotide long non-coding RNA. RefSeq lists it as uncharacterized. NCBI's taxonomy places the organism in Eukaryota, Metazoa, Chordata, Mammalia, Artiodactyla, Physeteridae. The record is from RefSeq and is a predicted model, not a curated record. The transcript has 4 exons.